GCUGCAACAAAGAUCAGAGAGUGUUCCAUUUCCGAAGCCAACCGCGAUUAUAUUCAACGCACACUUAGGAGUGAUUUUCACAAGACAAGUAUCCCAUAAUGUUUUUACUUCCCCUUCAUCGACUGAAAAAACAGGAACAAACGCACACACCAAAGCUACAACAAUGAAUAGCAAAGAAACAUGAGCGCUAAAUUUAGACAUAUUUUCGUUUCCUAAAAUUAGCUUGCUUGAGUUUUCCUUUUUCGUAACGAACAGUGUAU
Molecule: long non-coding RNA, 260 nt
Filed under: Capsella rubella
Lineage: Eukaryota; Viridiplantae; Streptophyta; Magnoliopsida; Brassicales; Brassicaceae
Description: long non-coding RNA (CRUB_LNC000439)
Source: RNAcentral